UGAACGCUGGCGGCAGGCCUAACACAUGCAAGCUCGAGCGGUAACACAGAGGAGCUUGCUCCUUGGGUGACGAGCGGCGGACGGGUGAGUAAUGCCUGGGGAUCUGCCCGAUAGAGGGGGAUAACUACGGGAAACUGUAGCUAAUACCGCAUAAUGUCUACGGACCAAAGUGGGGGCUCUUCGGACCUCAUGCUAUCGGAUGAACCCAGGUGGGAUUAGCUAGUUGGUGAGGUAAUGGCUCACCAAGGCGACGAUCUCUAACUGGUUUGAGAGAAUGACCAGUCACACUGGAACUGAGACACGGUCCAGACUCCUACGGGAGGCAGCAGUGGGGAAUAUUGCACAAUGGGCGCAAGCCUGAUGCAGCCAUGCCGCGUGUGUGAAGAAGGCCUUCGGGUUGUAAAGCACUUUCAGCGGGGAGGAAGGGUCACUAGUUAAUACCUAGUGGCAUUGACGUUACUCGCAGAAGAAGCACCGGCUAACUCCGUGCCAGCAGCCGCGGUAAUACGGAGGGUGCAAGCGUUAAUCGGAAUUACUGGGCGUAAAGCGCACGCAGGCGGUUUGUUAAGUCAGAUGUGAAAUCCCCGAGCUCAACUUGGGAACUGCAUUUGAAACUGGCAAGCUAGAGUUCUUGUAGAGG
Molecule: ribosomal RNA, 640 nt
Filed under: Plesiomonas shigelloides
Lineage: Bacteria; Pseudomonadati; Pseudomonadota; Gammaproteobacteria; Enterobacterales; Enterobacteriaceae
Description: bacterial SSU rRNA
Rfam family: Bacterial small subunit ribosomal RNA
Source: RNAcentral